Molecule: ribosomal RNA, 496 nt
Filed under: uncultured bacterium
Lineage: Bacteria
Description: partial 16S ribosomal RNA
Rfam family: Bacterial small subunit ribosomal RNA
Source: RNAcentral
AUGCACGCUGGCGGCGUGCCUAAUACCUGCCAGUCGAGCGCACAGACGAGGAGCUUGCUCCUCUGACGUUAGCGGCGGACGGGUGAGUAACACGUGGAUAACCUACCUAUAAGACUGGGAUAACUUCGGGAAACCGGAGCUAAUACCGGAUAAUAUAUUGAACCGCAUGGUUCAAUAGUGAAAGACGGUUUUGCUGUCACUUAUAGAUGGAUCCGCGCCGCAUUAGCUAGUUGGUAAGGUAACGGCUUACCAAGGCGACGAUGCGUAGCCGACCUGAGAGGGUGAUCGGCCACACUGGAACUGAGACACGGUCCAGACUCCUACGGGAGGCAGCAGUAGGGAAUCUUCCGCAAUGGGCGAAAGCCUGACGGAGCAACGCCGCGUGAGUGAUGAAGGUCUUCGGAUCGUAAAACUCUGUUAUUAGGGAAGAACAAAUGUGUAAGUAACUAUGCACGUCUUGACGGUACCUAAUCAGAAAGCCACGGCUAACUACGUG